AUACGGAGGAUGCGAGCGUUGUCCGGAAUUAUUGGGCGUAAAGCGCGCGCAGGUGGUUCCUUAAGUCUGAUGUGAAAGCCCCCGGCUCAACCGGGGAGGGUCAUUGGAAACUGGGGAACUUGAGUGCAGAAGAGGAUAGUGGAAUUCCAAGUGUAGCGGUGAAAUGCGUAGAGAUUUGGAGGAACACCAGUGGCGAAGGCGGCUGUCUGGUCUGUAACUGGCACUGAGGCGCGAAAGCGUGGGGAGCAAACAGGAUUAGGUACCCUGGUGUGCCACGCCGUAAACGAUGAGUGCUAAGUGUUGGGGGGUUUCCGCCCCUCAGUGCUGCAGCUAACGCAUUAAGCACUCCGCCUGGGGAGUACGGUCGCAAGACUGAAACUCAAAUGAAUUGGCGGGG
RNAcentral lists this ribosomal RNA (397 nucleotides) under uncultured bacterium. RNAcentral describes it as "partial 16S ribosomal RNA". It matches the Rfam family "Bacterial small subunit ribosomal RNA", at positions 523 to 918 of the family's 1533-position model. The record is from RNAcentral.